Molecule: ribosomal RNA, 541 nt
Filed under: Bacillus sp. (in: firmicutes)
Lineage: Bacteria; Bacillati; Bacillota; Bacilli; Caryophanales; Bacillaceae
Description: bacterial SSU rRNA
Rfam family: Bacterial small subunit ribosomal RNA
Source: RNAcentral
CUAUACCUGCAGUCGAGCGGACAGAUGGGAGCUUGCUCCCUGAUGUUAGCGGCGGACGGGUGAGUAACACGUGGGUAACCUGCCUGUAAGACUGGGAUAACUCCGGGAAACCGGGGCUAAUACCGGAUGGUUGUUUGAACCGCAUGGUUCAGACAUAAAAGGUGGCUUCGGCUACCACUUACAGAUGGACCCGCGGCGCAUUAGCUAGUUGGUGAGGUAACGGCUCACCAAGGCGACGAUGCGUAGCCGACCUGAGAGGGUGAUCGGCCACACUGGGACUGAGACACGGCCCAGACUCCUACGGGAGGCAGCAGUAGGGAAUCUUCCGCAAUGGACGAAAGUCUGACGGAGCAACGCCGCGUGAGUGAUGAAGGUUUUCGGAUCGUAAAGCUCUGUUGUUAGGGAAGAACAAGUGCCGUUCAAAUAGGGCGGCACCUUGACGGUACCUAACCAGAAAGCCACGGCUAACUACGUGCCAGCAGCCGCGGUAAUACUUAGGUGGUAGGNGUUGUUCUUAAUUAUUGGUNGUAAAGGGCUCGUA